Molecule: long non-coding RNA, 665 nt
Filed under: Physcomitrium patens
Lineage: Eukaryota; Viridiplantae; Streptophyta; Bryopsida; Funariales; Funariaceae
Description: long non-coding RNA (PPAT_LNC001700)
Source: RNAcentral
UUUGUCAAAAUUUUCAUCAACAAAAGCUUGGCUGAUUUGAAUCAUGCGAUCCGCACGGAAAUUGAAAUUGAUCACAACAUCUCCUUCUUCAAUUGUACCCCAGGGCUUCCCAUCAGAUUUUUUAAUGAUAACAAAUGGAGGUAAAUAUUGAUCAUUGCAAUGUGGAUCUUUUUUCUUCAAAUCAGUAAUUGCUUCUACUGCACUCUCAUACUUGUUGGGUGAAUCUCCAAGCACAUGAGCAUACCAACCGCGCCUUACAAUUCGCCAAUCAGUCUAGUAUUGUUGAAUUAUUCAAUUUGAUGCAAUCAUUUUUAUGAAUAAUUCAUAUUGAAAUGAAUAUUUACAUAAAAUAAGAUUGGAAGCAACCAUUAAGUUGUGUAAUUGUUGUUAUAUAUAUAUAUAUAUAUAUACAUAUGUAUGUAUGUAUAUUUUAAUGAAGAAGUUUAUCUUAACAAAUCUAAUUCCACAUAAACCCAAAUUACAAUACAAUUCACUUAGGCAUACAUUCCAAUGGUCCAUAGUGACAAACAUGCGGCCUCCUCCAGAUGCAAUUCUUGCAUCACAUCCCCAUUUGCGGAGUUCAUCUAAGUCCUUCUCCAAUUGCUCUACAAAGUGGAUGCUUGUGCCUUCGUUCACAUCUCUCCCAUCCAAUAACACAUGGAAGC